This 463-nucleotide ribosomal RNA is filed under the name uncultured Chloroflexota bacterium. Its description in RNAcentral is "bacterial SSU rRNA". It matches the Rfam family "Bacterial small subunit ribosomal RNA", at positions 28 to 507 of the family's 1533-position model. The record is from RNAcentral. Lineage: Bacteria; Bacillati; Chloroflexota.
GAUGAACGCUGGCGGCGUGCUUAACACAUGCAAGUUGGACGUGAAGCCUAGUACUUAGUAUUGGGUGGAAAGUGGCGAACGGGUGAGUAACACGUUGGUGACCUGUCCCGAGGAGGGGGAUAACCGUGGGAAACCACGGCUAAUACCCCGGAUGUCUAGGUGGUUAGAGGGCCUAGACUAAAGCUCCGGCGCCUUGGGAGGGGCCUGCGGGCUAUCAGCUUGUUGGUGGGGUAACGGCCUACCAAGGCUAAGACGGCUAGGGGGCGUAAGAGCGCGACCCCCCACAAUGGAACUGAGACACGGUCCAUACUCCUACGGGAGGCAGCAGUGAGGAAUAUUGCGCAAUGGGGGCAACCCUGACGCAGCAACGCCGCGUGGACGAUGAAGGCCUUCGGGUUGUAAAGUCCUUUUCUGAGGGACGAUAAUGACGGUACCUCAGGAAUAAGUCCCGGCUAACUACGUG